This 419-nucleotide ribosomal RNA is filed under the name uncultured bacterium. Its description in RNAcentral is "bacterial SSU rRNA". It matches the Rfam family "Bacterial small subunit ribosomal RNA", at positions 356 to 773 of the family's 1533-position model. The record is from RNAcentral.
GAGGAAUAUUGGUCAAUGGGCGGGAGCCUGAACCAGCCAAGUCGCGUGAGGGAGGAAGGUCCUACGGAUUGUAAACCUCUUUAGCCGGGGAGCAACGUGCGCCACGCGUGGCGCAGUGAGAGUACCCGGAGAAUAAGCAUCGGCUAACUCCGUGCCAGCAGCCGCGGUAAUACAGAGGAUGCGAGCGUUAUCCGGAUUUAUUGGGUUUAAAGGGUGCGCAGGCGGCGCGAAAAGUCAGCGGUCAAAGUUCCGGGCUCAACCCGGUGACGCCGUUGAAACUUUCGUGCUGGAGUUCGUGCGAGGGAGGCGGAAUGCGUUGUGUAGCGGUGAAAUGCAUAGAUAUGACGCAGAACCCCGAUUGCGAAGGCAGCUUUCCAGCACGCGACUGACGCUGAGUCACGAAAGCGUGGGGAGCGAAC